RNAcentral lists this ribosomal RNA (93 nucleotides) under Shigella boydii. The record is from RNAcentral. Lineage: Bacteria; Pseudomonadati; Pseudomonadota; Gammaproteobacteria; Enterobacterales; Enterobacteriaceae.
CCCACCUGACCCCAUGCCGAACUCAGAAGUGAAACGCCGUAGCGCCGAUGGUAGUAUGGGGUCUUCCCAUGCGAGAGUAGGGAACUGCCAGAC